CCUGUGUUCGUCAUGCUCAGUGUUUAUCUGAUAAACACCAAGGAAUGUGCAGCAGUGAACGUUAGAAACUGAUCAGACUUGAGUGUCUGGUUUGCAGUGACUCGUUAAUCAUUGUCUCAGUUCCUGUUUCCUGCUCAGCUACAACGAUUCAUUUCACUUUAACAGCAACAGUUUGGAUCACUGUGUCUUUAUCUGUGACAUCUAGAAUGAGUCCUAUAAAGAUUAAACAUCUCUUGGUUUUGCAUCAUGUUGUUGCCGUCCUCCUUUUUCUAACACAAUCUUGUGGUGGUCAGCAUCAGAUGAUUGGUCCAACUCAGCCAGUAGU
Molecule: long non-coding RNA, 325 nt
Organism: Haplochromis burtoni (Burton's mouthbrooder)
Lineage: Eukaryota; Metazoa; Chordata; Actinopteri; Cichliformes; Cichlidae
Exons: 3
Source: RefSeq, a predicted model, not a curated record